ACUCAAAGGAAUAGACGGGGGCCCGCACAAGCAGCGGAGCGUGUGGUUUAAUUCGAGGCUACACGAAGAACCUUACCUGGGUUUGACAUGCAAGUGGUAGUGGGCGGAAACGUUCGCGACCUUCGGGAGCUUGCACAGGUGCUGCAUGGCUGUCGUCAGCUCGUGCCGUGAGGUGUUAGGUUAAGUCCUGUAACGAGCGCAACCCCCGGUAGUAGUUACACGUGUCUACUACGACUGCCCGUGACAAGCGGGAGGAAGGUGGGGAUGACGUCAAGUCAGCAUGGCCUUUAUAUCCAGGGCUACACACACGCUACAAUGGUCGGUACAAUGGGACGCGAAAGUGCAAACUGGAGCAAAUCCUGCAAAGCCGGUCACAGUUCGGAUUGUGGGCUGCAACCCGCCCACAUGAAGUUGGAGUUGCUAGUAACCGCGCGUCAGCCAUAGUGCGGUGAAUACGUUCCCGGGCCUUGUACACACCGCCCGU
This 484-nucleotide ribosomal RNA is filed under the name uncultured bacterium. RNAcentral describes it as "partial 16S ribosomal RNA". It matches the Rfam family "Bacterial small subunit ribosomal RNA", at positions 899 to 1397 of the family's 1533-position model. The record is from RNAcentral.